UAAUGCGUUCUUUGAAUUUUAUUUGUGUAGAAGAAAUUGAGGAAGAAUCAGAAACCACAAUUGAAGCCGACUUGACGGAUAAACAGAAGCAUCAGCUGAAACAUAGGGAGCUCUUCUUGUCACGCCAGUAUGAAUCUCUGCCUGCAACGCAUAUCAGGGGAAAAUGCAGUGUUGCCCUUCUGAAUGAGACAGAGUCAGUAUUGUCGUAUCUUGAUAAAGAGGACACCUUUUUCUACUCAUUGGUCUACGACCCUUCAGUGAAAACACUGUUAGCUGACAAAGGUGAAAUCAGAGUGGGGCCUAGAUAUCAAGCAGACAUUCCAGAGAUGCUCUUAGAAGGAGAAUCAGAUGAGAGGGAACAGUCCAAAUUGGAAGUUAAAGUUUGGGAUCCAAAUAGCCCACUUACGGAUCGACAGAUUGACCAGUUCUUAGUUGUAGCACGUGCCGUGGGGACAUUCGCUCGAGCCCUUGAUUGCAGCAGUUCUGUGAGGCAGCCGAGUCUGCAUAUGAGCGCAGCUGCGGCGUCUCGAGACAUCACCCUGUUUCACGCUAUGGAUACGUUGUAUAGGCACAGCUAUGAUUUGAGCAGUGCAAUUAGUGUCUUAGUACCACUUGGAGGACCUGUGUUAUGCAGAGAUGAAAUGGAAGAGUGGUCAGCCUCUGAAGCUAGUUUAUUUGAAGAGGCACUGGAAAAAUAUGGCAAAGACUUCAAUGACAUACGUCAAGACUUUCUCCCUUGGAAAUCAUUGACUAGCAUCAUUGAAUAUUAUUACAUGUGGAAAACUACUGACAGAUACGUGCAGCAGAAACGUCUAAAAGCAGCAGAAGCCGAGAGUAAACUGAAGCAAGUGUAUAUCCCAACUUACAGCAAACCAAAUCCCAACCAAAUAUCUGCCAGCAAUGGCAAACCUGGUGCUGUGAAUGGAGCCGUGGGGACCACAUUCCAGCCACAGAAUCCCCUCCUAGGGCGAGCGUGUGAGAGCUGCUACGCUACACAGUCUCAUCAGUGGUAUUCUUGGGGCCCACCUAAUAUGCAGUGUAGAUUGUGUGCGACCUGUUGGCUCUAUUGGAAAAAAUACGGAGGCCUGAAAAUGCCCACCCAGUCAGAGGAAGAGAAGUUAUCACCCAGCCCAACUACAGAGGACCCCCGCGUUAGGAGUCACAUGUCUCGCCAGGCCACGCAGGGGAUGCCAGUCCGAACCACGGGGAGCCCAAAGUCUGCAGUGAAGACUCGCCAAGCUUUCUUCCUUCGCACUACGCACUUCACAAAAUUUGCUCGUCAGGUCUGCAGAAGUACCCUCCGGCUGCGGCAGGCAGCGAGACGGCCGUUUGUUCCUAUUAAUUAUGCUGCCAUUAGGGCAGAAUAUGCAGACAGACAUGCCGAGCUAUCUGGAAGUCCACUGAAAAGCAAAAGCACUAGGAAACCUUUGGCAUGUAUCAUUGGGUAUUUAGAGAUCCAUCCUUCGAAGAAACCUAAUGUAAUUCGAACUACGCCAAGCCUGCAAACCCCCACUACCAAGCGGAUGCUAGCCACCCCGAAUCACACGUCUCUGAGCAUUUUGGGGAAAAGAAACUACAGUCAUCACAAUGGCCUGGAUGAAAGGCUCAUGAAGUGAAGGCCCAGCUCUGUUCCAUCCUGCAGACCUUCCUCAGGAUGGCGGGAGGCUGUGAAGAACUCACAUGCUGCGUGUCGGACUGAGCUAACCCUAUUUCAUACUAUAAGCCAAGACUUGCUACACUGUCCUGCUGAUGUUCGCAGCCGUGCCUGGGAAGGAGGCAGCCCCAUUUCCAGCACAUUUCAGUGGGAGACCUACACAUGUGCCCCCUGGAGACUCGGUGGGGCAGGGGAAGAAACUGUGGGAGUGCACGUCCCCAAAGCCGCGUCUCCAUGUGUGAAUCAGUGUCACCUCGCUUUCCUCUCAGAGACUUCACUGUCCCAUAGCAGGACCUGCCUGAAAAUGGAGGGGACAAGGGGGCCCUCAGUCUCCUCCUUCUCCAGCACUCCGUUCCCAGGCACCGCGGCUCCUCGGGCAGCGGAGCGCCUAAGAGCUCAGAGCUGCUGCUGCCCUGCAUGUGUCAGCUCAGCCCUAUUGUCAGCGCCAUGAUGGUCUACGGGAGGGACAUGGCCGCUUUCUGGAUGGAUUUUUCUGAAGAAAAGUGCCAGCGUUUAUGGAG
RNA transcript from Lontra canadensis (Northern American river otter), 2175 nucleotides. It is a transcript of the gene named metastasis-associated protein MTA3, with no coding region annotated. The record is from RefSeq and is a predicted model, not a curated record. The transcript is spliced from 15 exons. Lineage: Eukaryota; Metazoa; Chordata; Mammalia; Carnivora; Mustelidae.